UACGUAGGGACCGAGCGUUGUCCGGAAUCAUUGGGCGUAAAGAGCGUGUAGGCGGCCACUUAAGUCCUGCGUGAAAUCUUGCGGCUCAACCGCAAGCGGUCGUGGGAAACUGGGUGGCUAGAGUGCGGGAGAGGAGAGUGGAAUUCCUGGUGUAGCGGUGGAAUGCGCAGAUAUCAGGAGGAACACCUGUGGCGAAAGCGGCGCACUGGACCACAACUGACGCUGAGGCGCGAAAGCUAGGGGAGCAAACAGG
This 253-nucleotide ribosomal RNA is filed under the name uncultured bacterium. Its description in RNAcentral is "partial 16S ribosomal RNA". It matches the Rfam family "Bacterial small subunit ribosomal RNA", at positions 524 to 776 of the family's 1533-position model. The record is from RNAcentral.